UACGUAGGGGGCUAGCGUUGUCCGGAAUCAUUGGGCGUAAAGCGCGCGUAGGCGGCCAGAUAAGUCCGGUGUGAAAGUCAAAGGCUCAACCUUUGAAUGCCGCUGGAAACUGUCUGGCUAGAGUCCGGAAGGGGCGAGUGGAACUCCUGGUGUAGCGGUGAAAUGCGCAGAUAUCAGGAAGAACACCAAUGGCGAAGGCAGCUCGCUAGGACGGUACUGACGCUGAGACGCGAAAGCGUGGGGAGCGAACAGG
This 253-nucleotide ribosomal RNA is filed under the name uncultured bacterium. Its description in RNAcentral is "partial 16S ribosomal RNA". It matches the Rfam family "Bacterial small subunit ribosomal RNA", at positions 524 to 776 of the family's 1533-position model. The record is from RNAcentral.